Molecule: ribosomal RNA, 485 nt
Filed under: Spirochaetales bacterium canine oral taxon 373
Lineage: Bacteria; Pseudomonadati; Spirochaetota; Spirochaetia; Spirochaetales
Description: bacterial SSU rRNA
Rfam family: Bacterial small subunit ribosomal RNA
Source: RNAcentral
GAGUUUGAUUCUGGCUCAGAACGAACGCUAGCGGCGCGUUUUAAGCAUGCAAGUCGAACGGGGAUAUUAGGAGCAAUUCUAUUAUUCCAGUGGCAAACGGGUGAGUAACACGUGGAUAAUCUGCCCUCAAGACCUGGAUAGCCCGCAGAAAUGCGGAUUAAUACGGGAUGUGGUACCGUAUCAUGAGGAUAUGGGGAUUAAAGGUAGGGACCGCAAGGCCUGCCGCUUGGGGAGGAGUCCGCGGCCCAUUAGCUUGUUGGUGGGGUAAAGGCCUACCAAGGCGACGAUGGGUAGCCGGCCUGAGAGGGUGAGCGGCCACAUUGGGACUGAGACACGGCCCAGACUCCUACGGGAGGCAGCAGCUAAGAAUCUUCCGCAAUGGGCGAAAGCCUGACGGAGCGACGCCGCGUGGACGAAGAGGGUCUUCGGAUUGUAAAGUCAUUUCGGGGAGGAAGAAUAAGCGCAGAGGAACAGGCUGCGUGAUG